RNAcentral lists this ribosomal RNA (253 nucleotides) under uncultured bacterium. Its description in RNAcentral is "partial 16S ribosomal RNA". It matches the Rfam family "Bacterial small subunit ribosomal RNA", at positions 524 to 776 of the family's 1533-position model. The record is from RNAcentral.
UACGUAGGGUGCGAGCGUUGUCCGGAAUUAUUGGGCGUAAAGGGCUCGUAGGCGGUCUGUUGCGUCGGGAGUGAAAACUCAGGGCUUAACCCUGAGCCUGCUUCCGAUACGGGCAGACUAGAGGUAUGCAGGGGAGAACGGAAUUCCUGGUGUAGCGGUGAAAUGCGCAGAUAUCGGGAGGAACACCGGUGGCGAAGGCGGUUCUCUGGGCCUGUACUGACGCUGAGGAGCGAAAGCGUGGGGAGCAAACAGG